This 302-nucleotide long non-coding RNA is filed under the name Chinchilla lanigera (long-tailed chinchilla). RNAcentral's name for it is "lncRNA (ENSCLAG00000024184.1)". The record is from RNAcentral. Lineage: Eukaryota; Metazoa; Chordata; Mammalia; Rodentia; Chinchillidae.
UGCUAAACAGCAAGUUGUAAAUACAGUAUGCUUGGGAAUGUCUACCUGGCAGAAAUCUGUCACUAGGUGGCUGAACACUGUGACUACAGACAACUGGCAAGAAGAAAAACCUUCCUGUUAGAAUCCAGUAGUGCAUGAGGCUCCUUGUUAAGGGGCUGUGUCCCUUGGUGACAAAGAAUGAAACCAGAUCUGGAGGAGGCAGAGUGUCAGAAAAUUUAUUGAACAGAUUAAAGUUGGCAAAAAGAAAAGCCAAGGUGAUAUCCUGCAUUUUGCUCUUCUUUAGGAAAAUAUCAGCUUCUUGA